GCAAUUUGGAAACCGGAUUCGUGUUCAGCAUCCAAAAACUAUAAGAAACGACUGGUCUCGUUCCGGUGUUCGAAAAAAAGUGAUUUUUGUUGAACAGUGUAAUUUGUGCUGCAUACGUACCCUCGUCCAAAGGAUCGAGAGCAACGCCGAAUGUUGCGUAAUUUUCCUCUUCCGAGUCGCUCAUCUCGAAAGGCAACUUCAAUCGUCAGAGCAUAGGUUUUCACUUAAAUUAUGACUGGACAUGAUACCAACUAAAUUCUCCUCAAACUUCCAGCUUUGACGUCAAGUUGAAGGUACAAGUUACAAGUUUGAGGUUAGAGGCGCUAACGCACCAUCAGCCAACUUCAAGCGGCGUUCACAUCGCUGCGUUAUUCGACAGCCGAUUCACGUGCAGCAGAGAGAAACCUGAGAGCGGCCACCAGCCUCCUGACGUUUGGCGCCGCCUGACAAAGUGGACGCGAACUAGUUCGUUACGCUCGGUAAUGAUACGAGUGAGCAUUUUCCAGCGGUGCGGAAAGUACAUACCAUUAGAGUCCGAAAUAAUCAGAGAAGCGCAAUCGGCGUCUCACUUGCUGAUUGGCUGACCGCCAUGUUGAGCCCGUAUUACAUUCUGUUGGGAAACUAACCGCAACCGGCGUACCUUAACUUCUCCAGCACGUCACGUUUUGUAACUAUAAUAUGAUGAAAUUCGUCAAAAUAGCCCUUUUUUGUACCUUUAAGGGCAAAUUUCUCAAAAUUGUGACGCGAUGGAGCAAUUUGGAAACCGGAUUCGUGUUCAGCAUCCAAAAACUAUAAGAAACGACUGGUCUCGUUCCGGUGUUCGAAAAAAAGUGAUUUUUGUUGAACAGUGUAAUUUGUGCUGCAUACGUACCCUCGUCCAAAGGAUCGAGAGCAACGCCGAAUGUUGCGUAAUUCUCCUCUUCCGAGUCGCUCAUCUCGAAAGGCAACUUCAAUCGUCAGAGCAUAGGUUUUCACUUAAAUUACGACUGGACAUGAUACCAACUAAAUUCUCCUCAAACUUCCAGCUUUGACGUCAAGUUGAAGGUACAAGUUACAAGUUUGAGGUUAGAGGCGCUAACGCACCAUCAGCCAACUUCAAGCGGCGUUCACAUCGCUGCGUUAUUCGACAGCCGAUUCACGUGCAGCAGAGAGAAACCUGAGAGCGGCCACCAGCCUCCUGACGUUUAGCGCCGCCUGACAAAGUGGACGUGAACUAGUUCGUUACGCUCGGUAAUGAUACGAGUGAGCAUUUUCCAGCGGUACGGAAAGUACAUACCAUUAGAGUCCGAAAUAAUCAGAGAAGCGCAAUCGGCGUCUCACUUGCUGAUUGGCUGACCGCCAUGUUGAGCCCGUAUUACAUUCUGUUGGGAAACUAACCGCAACCGGCGUACCUUAACUUCUCCAGCACGUCACGUUUUGUAACUAUAAUAUGAUGAAAUUCGUCAAAAUAGCCCUUUUUUGUACCUUUAAGGGCAAAUUUCUCAAAAUUGUGACGCGAUGGAGCAAUUUGGAAACCGGAUUCGUGUUCAGCAUCCAAAAACUAUAAGAAACGACUGGUCUCGUUCCGGUGUUCGAAAAAAAGUGAUUUUUGUUGAACAGUGUAAUUUGUGCUGCAUACGUACCCUCGUCCAAAGGAUCGAGAGCAACGCCGAAUGUUGCGUAAUUCUCUUCCGAGUCGCUCAUCUCGAAAGGCAACUUCAAUCGUCAGAGCAUAGGUUUUCACUUAAAUUACGACUGGACAUGAUACCAACUAAAUUCUCCUCAAACUUCCAGCUUUGACGUCAAGUUGAAGGUACAAGUUACAAGUUUGAGGUUAGAGGCGCUAACGCACCAUCAGCCAACUUCAAGCGGCGUUCACAUCGCUGCGUUAUUCGACAGCCGAUUCACGUGCAGCAGAGAGAAACCUGAGAGCGGCCACCAGCCUCCUGACGUUUGGCGCCGCCUGACAAAGUGGACGCGAACUAGUUCGUUACGCUCGGUAAUGAUACGAGUGAGCAUUUUCCAGCGGUGCGGAAAGUACAUACCAUUAGAGUCCCGAAUAAUCAGAGAAGCGCAAUCGGCGUCUCACUUGCUGAUUGGCUGACCGCCAUGUUGAGCCCGUAAUACAUUCUGUUGGGAAACUAACCGCAACCGGCGUACCGUAAGUGAACAAAAAUCUUAUGAACCAUAACCGACACCAAAAGUUCCUUUUGAGGAUUGAAAAUCUUAACAACAUACUUUAUUUUCAUUGUAGUUAACUUCUCCAGCACGUCACGUUUUGUAACUAUAAUAUGAUGAAAUUCGUCAAAAUAGCCCUUUUUUGUACCUUUAGGUGCAAAUUUCUCAAAACUGUGACGCGAUGGAGCAAUUUGGAAACCGGAUUCGUGUUCAGCAUCCAAAAACUAUAAGAAACGACUGGUCUCGUUCCGGUGUUCGAAAAAAAGUGAUUUUUGUUGAACAGUGUAAUUUGUGCUGCAUACGUACCCUCGUCCAAAGGAUCGAGAGCAACGCCGAAUGUUGCGUAAUUUUCCUCUUCCGAGUCGCUCAUCUCGAAAGGCAACUUCAAUCGUCAGAGCAUAGGUUUUCACUUAAAUUAUGACUGGACAUGAUACCAACUAAAUUCUCCUCAAACUUCCAGCUUUGACGUCAAGUUGAAGGUACAAGUUACAAGUUUGAGGUUAGAGGCGCUAACGCACCAUCAGCCAACUUCAAGCGGCGUUCACAUCGCUGCGUUAUUCGACAGCCGAUUCACGUGCAGCAGAGAGAAACCUGAGAGCGGCCACCAGCCUCCUGACGUUUGGCGCCGCCUGACAAAGUGGACGCGAACUAGUUCGUUACGCUCGGUAAUGAUACGAGUGAGCAUUUUCCAGCGGUGCGGAAAGUACAUACCAUUAGAGUCCGAAAUAAUCAGAGAAGCGCAAUCGGCGUCUCACUUGCUGAUUGGCUGACCGCCAUGUUGAGCCCGUAUUACAUUCUGUUGGGAAACUAACCGCAACCGGCGUACCUUAACUUCUCCAGCACGUCACGUUUUGUAACUAUAAUAUGAUGAAAUUCGUCAAAAUAGCCCUUUUUUGUACCUUUAAGGGCAAAUUUCUCAAAAUUGUGACGCGAUGGAGCAAUUUGGAAACCGGAUUCGUGUUCAGCAUCCAAAAACUAUAAGAAACGACUGGUCUCGUUCCGGUGUUCGAAAAAAAGUGAUUUUUGUUGAACAGUGUAAUUUGUGCUGCAUACGUACCCUCGUCCAACGGAUCGAGAGCAACGCCGAAUGUUGCGUAAUUCUCCUCUUCCGAGUCGCUCAUCUCGAAAGGCAACUUCAAUCGUCAGAGCAUAGGUUUUCGCUUAAAUUACGACUGGACAUGAUACCAACUAAAUUCUCCUCAAACUUCCAGCUUUGACGUCAAGUUGAAGGUACAAGUUACAAGUUUGAGGUUAGAGGCGCUAACGCACCAUCAGCCAACUUCAAGCGGCGUUCACAUCGCUGCGUUAUUCGACAGCCGGUUCACGUGCAGCAGAGAGAAACCUGAGAGCGGCCACCAGCCUCCUGACGUUUGGCGCCGCCUGACAAAGUGGACGCGAACUAGUUCGUUACGCUCGGUAAUGAUACAAGUGAGCAUUUUCCAGCGGUGCGGAAAGUACAUACCAUUAGAGUCCCGAAUAAUCAGAGAAGCGCAAUCGGCGUCUCACUUGCUGAUUGGCUGACCGCCAUGUUGAGCCCGUAAUACAUUCUGUUGGGAAACUAACCGCAACCGGCGUACCUGACAGUAGGCUGUAAUCUUCGCAAUGCCUUCUCCAUUUGGACAAUCUUACUGAACAUCUUACGCAACUGCUGCAAGCCUAAAUUACGCUCAACUGUUAAGUCUUGAAUAACUUGUGAUGCUUUGUUACACUGUAAUAUCAGUUCAUCAAUUGUACACAACAUUUUACUUUGGGAACCAGUAUAGAAGGGAUUGAAUGUCUUUCUUGAAUAGAAUAAAUCUACAACAUAAUUUAUAACAAACGACGUGAAACCAUUAUAAUUAAAAUAAAUUAUUAUUAUAUUAAGUU
This is a long non-coding RNA of Ooceraea biroi (clonal raider ant), 4023 nucleotides long. RefSeq lists it as uncharacterized. The record is from RefSeq and is a predicted model, not a curated record. NCBI's taxonomy places the organism in Eukaryota, Metazoa, Arthropoda, Insecta, Hymenoptera, Formicidae.